Molecule: long non-coding RNA, 640 nt
Organism: Bos taurus (domestic cattle)
Lineage: Eukaryota; Metazoa; Chordata; Mammalia; Artiodactyla; Bovidae
Source: Ensembl
GUGCCUGGAAGGCUGGGAGGCUUCAGACGCUGCCCCGACCCUUCAGAGAGCAGGCGCUGAGCACGAGCGUGGAAGGAGGCCCAGCGCCUUCGGUGGUGGUGCAGAGGCUGGGGCCGUUCCGGGCUGGAGCAGCUCUGGUUCUUCCUUCCAGGGACCUACCCUCAGAGGCUGCACACCUCGGCUUGCCUCCCCGCUGGGAUACUUGUAAGGACAGCAUACAAGAGGCCGUGAGCGUGAAACCACUCUCAGACUCCAGUCUCUCCCCAGGCAGCAUGCCCACGUGACCCCUUUUGGCCGGGGGACCUUAGUGAGAGUCAGCUUGUGAUGGCUUCUGGGAGAGCGUCUGCCGUCACGGCAAAGGAGCCAACAUGGAUGGUGCCGCCUUCCCACCUCCUUCCUGCCUUGAACGCACAUUCCACCCAGCUCUGGCACCAUCUUGCAACCAUGAAAGAAAGGCAAGAAAUACACAGAGAUGUCAGCCCUGACAUUGCUGAGAUGGGAAAUUAUCAUUAGUGUCCGCCUCUGUCCUGUUACAUGUGACAAGUCAACUCCUGUUUAAACCGCAUUUGUUUUAAACCGCUGUGAAUAAGGUUUUUCUUACAGCCAGAUAAACCCCUAACCAAUAUGGGAGGUUCUGGAA